Molecule: ribosomal RNA, 440 nt
Filed under: uncultured bacterium
Lineage: Bacteria
Description: partial 16S ribosomal RNA
Rfam family: Bacterial small subunit ribosomal RNA
Source: RNAcentral
CCUACGGGUGGCAGCAGUGGGGAAUAUUGCACAAUGGGGGAAACCCUGAUGCAGCGACGCCGCGUGAGUGAAGAAGUAAUUCGUUAUGUAAAGCUCUAUCAGCAGGGAAGAAAAUGACGGUACCUGAGUACGAAGCCCCUGCUAACUACGUGCCAGCAGCCGCGGUAAUACGUAGGGGGCAAGCGUUAUCCGGAUUUACUGGGUGUAAAGGGAGCGUAGACGGAAGUGCAAGUCUGGAGUGAAAGCCGGGGGCUCAACCCCCGGACGGCUCUGGAAACUGUACGGCUAGAGUGCAGGAGAGGAAAGGGGAAUUACUGGUGUAGCGGUGAAAUGCGGAGAUAUGUGGAGGAACACCAGUGGCGAAGGCGGCUUACUGGACUGUAACUGACGUUGAGGCGCGAAAGCGUGGGGAGCAAACAGGAUUAGAUACCCCUGUAGUC